RNAcentral lists this transfer RNA (73 nucleotides) under Scorpaena agassizii (longfin scorpionfish). RNAcentral describes it as "tRNA-Val". It matches the Rfam family "tRNA". From Rfam's summary of the family: Transfer RNA (tRNA) molecules are approximately 80 nucleotides in length. Their secondary structure includes four short double-helical elements and three loops (D, anti-codon, and T loops). Further hydrogen bonds mediate the characteristic L-shaped molecular structure. tRNAs have two regions of fundamental functional importance: the anti-codon, which is responsible for specific mRNA codon recognition, and the 3' end, to which the tRNAs corresponding amino acid is attached (by aminoacyl-tRNA synthetases). tRNAs cope with the degeneracy of the genetic code in two manners: having more than one tRNA (with a specific anti-codon) for a particular amino acid; and 'wobble' base-pairing, i.e. permitting non-standard base-pairing at the 3rd anti-codon position. Lineage: Eukaryota; Metazoa; Chordata; Actinopteri; Perciformes; Scorpaenidae. The record is from RNAcentral.
CAGAACGUAGUCUAAUCUAGUAGGACAUUUCCCUUACACUGAGAAAGAACUUGUGCAAAUCAAGUCGCUCUGA